RNAcentral lists this ribosomal RNA (201 nucleotides) under Triticum aestivum (bread wheat). Its description in RNAcentral is "partial small subunit ribosomal RNA". The record is from RNAcentral. Lineage: Eukaryota; Viridiplantae; Streptophyta; Magnoliopsida; Poales; Poaceae.
AUGUCGGUCGAUGGUGUGAAAACACUUCCUGAUGUCGAAUUCCAAAAACCAGCGAGAGGUUCCCCACUCUUCUUUAAUCCGUCUGAGGGCCGAGUGGCAGCCUCGACCCGAGCGGAAGUGCGAUGUGUCUUGAAACUCGAGAUCGUAAAUGGAUUCGGGUACCAUUCUGAUCACCUCUUUCAUUAUCUUUUCUAUGGGUAG